This 672-nucleotide ribosomal RNA is filed under the name Oxystomina affinis. RNAcentral's name for it is "SSU rRNA". It matches the Rfam family "Eukaryotic small subunit ribosomal RNA", at positions 136 to 896 of the family's 1831-position model. Lineage: Eukaryota; Metazoa; Nematoda; Enoplea; Enoplida; Oxystominidae. The record is from RNAcentral.
UACUUGGAUAACUGUGGUAAUUCUAGAGCUAAUACACGCAGAAGGAGCGCAUUUAUUAGAACAAAACCAAUUUUGGUGAAUCUGAAUAACUCAUGGUCUUUGUACCGGCGACGCAUCUUUCAAGUGUCUGCCUUAUCAACUUUCGAUGGUAGUUUAUGCGCCUACCAUGGUUGUAACGGGUAACGGAGAAUCAGGGUUUGAUUCCGGAGAGGGAGCCUGAGAAAUGGCUACCACAUCCAAGGAAGGCAGCAGGCACGCAAAUUACCCAAUCCCGGCGGGGAGGUAGUGACGAAAAAUAACGAGAUAGUCCCCGAUAUCAUCGGAAUGGGUAAAAUUUAAAUCUCAUAACGAGGAUCUAUUGGAGGGCAAGUCUGGUGCCAGCAGCCGCGGUAAUUCCAGCUCCAAUAGCGUAUAUUAAAGUUGUUGCGGUUAAAAAGCUCGUAGUUGGAUCUGCUAGAUCAGUGGUCCCCCAUUGGGUGUGACUUCUGGUUUCCCUUGUUGCUCUUAAUUGAGUGGCUGGGUGGCUAGAACUUUUACUUUGAAAAAAUUAGAGUGCUCAAAGCAGACGAUUUGUCUGAAUAGUGGUGCAUGGAAUAAUGGAAUAGGAGGUUCUAUUUUGUUGGUUUUAAGAGCUCGAGGUAAUGAUUAAAAGGGACAGACGGGGCAUUCGUA